GGGAGUAAAAGUAGACGUGAAACAGUGAUCAAAAUGUGUGAUGUUACAAGAGCUGCUAGUUGAUGCAAGAAGAACAGAAGGGCAAACUGUAUGUGCCAGAUUCUAACCCGUGUAAUCUCACCAAAGAAAAAUGCCUUGCGCAGAACUAGCCUUAACCAAAGGACGAAAUCUAGCAACUGCAUAAACAAGAUGAUUUUUUAAACUAAGAUGCUUAGUGCCUCUGUCCCUGCAACUGCAAAAGAGCCCACAAAACCAAAAGGUACAAACAAAGGAACUUUCUGUGUCGCACAUGAAUACUUCCUUCUCAGGUAGGCCAUGCUAUAUCCAUCCAAAAGUCCCAUUUCGUCGAUUUAAAAACCUAAU
Molecule: long non-coding RNA, 363 nt
Filed under: Hordeum vulgare
Lineage: Eukaryota; Viridiplantae; Streptophyta; Magnoliopsida; Poales; Poaceae
Description: long non-coding RNA (HVUL_LNC003761)
Source: RNAcentral